Molecule: ribosomal RNA, 481 nt
Filed under: uncultured bacterium
Lineage: Bacteria
Description: bacterial SSU rRNA
Rfam family: Bacterial small subunit ribosomal RNA
Source: RNAcentral
UCAGGAUGAACGCUGGCGGCGUGCUUAACACAUGCAAGUCGAACGGGUUACGAGAAGCUUGCUUUUGUAAACCUAGUGGCGGACGGGUGAGUAACGCGUGAGUAACCUGCCUUAGACUGGGGGAUAACACUUAGAAAUAGGUGCUAAUACCGCAUAAGCGCACAGUAUCGCAUGAUACAGUGUGAAAAACUCCGGUGGUCUAAGAUGGACUCGCGUCUGAUUAGCUAGUUGGUGAGGUAACGGCCCACCAAGGCGACGAUCAGUAGCCGGCCUGAGAGGGUGAACGGCCACAUUGGGACUGAGACACGGCCCAAACUCCUACGGGAGGCAGCAGUGGGGGAUAUUGCACAAUGGGCGAAAGCCUGAUUGCAGCGACGCCGCGUGAGUGAAGAAGUAUUUCGGUAUGUAAAGCUCUAUCAGCAGGGAAGAAAAUGACGGUACCUGACUAAGAAGCCCCGGCUAACUACGUGCCAGCCGCCGC